RNAcentral lists this ribosomal RNA (1371 nucleotides) under uncultured bacterium. RNAcentral's name for it is "bacterial SSU rRNA". It matches the Rfam family "Bacterial small subunit ribosomal RNA", at positions 28 to 1381 of the family's 1533-position model. The record is from RNAcentral.
GAUGAACGCUGGCGGCGUGCCUAAUACAUGCAAGUCGAGCGAACGGACGAGAAGCUUGCUUCUCUGAUGUUAGCGGCGGACGGGUGAGUAACACGUGGAUAACCUACCUAUAAGACUGGGAUAACUUCGGGAAACCGGAGCUAAUACCGGAUAAUAUUUUGAACCGCAUGGUUCAAAAGUAAAAGACGGUCUUGCUGUCACUUAUAGAUGGAUCCGCGCUGCAUUAGCUGGUUGGUAAGGUAACGGCUUACCAAGGCAACGAUGCAUAGCCGACCUGAGAGGGUGAUCGGCCACACUGGAACUGAGACACGGUCCAGACUCCUACGGGAGGCAGCAGUAGGGAAUCUUCCGCAAUGGGCGAAAGCCUGACGGAGCAACGCCGCGUGAGUGAUGAAGGUCUUCGGAUCGUAAAACUCUGUUAUUAGGGAAGAACAUAUGUGUAAGUAACUGUGCACAUCUUGACGGUACCUAAUCAGAAAGCCACGGCUAACUACGUGCCAGCAGCCGCGGUAAUACGUAGGUGGCAAGCGUUAUCCGGAANUUAUGGGCGUAAAGCGCGCGUAGCGGUUUUUUAAGUCUGAUGUGAAAGCCCACGGCUCAACCGUGGAGGGUCAUUGGAAACUGGAAAACUUGAGUGCAGAAGAGGAAAGUGGAAUUCCAUGUGUAGCGGUGAAAUGCGCAGAGAUAUGGAGGAACACCAGUGGCGAAGGCGACUUUCUGGUCUGUAACUGACGCUGAUGUGCGAAAGCGUGGGGAUCAAACAGGAUUAGAUACCCUGGUAGUCCACGCCGUAAACGAUGAGUGCUAAGUGUUAGGGGGUUUCCGCCCCUUAGUGCUGCAGCUAACGCAUUAAGCACUCCGCCUGGGGAGUACGACCGCAAGGUUGAAACUCAAAGGAAUUGACGGGGACCCGCACAAGCGGUGGAGCAUGUGGUUUAAUUCGAAGCAACGCGAAGAACCUUACCAAAUCUUGACAUCCUUUGACAACUCUAGAGAUAGAGCCUUCCCCUUCGGGGGACAAAGUGACAGGUGGUGCAUGGUUGUCGUCAGCUCGUGUCGUGAGAUGUUGGGUUAAGUCCCGCAACGAGCGCAACCCUUAAGCUUAGUUGCCAUCAUUAAGUUGGGCACUCUAAGUUGACUGCCGGUGACAAACCGGAGGAAGGUGGGGAUGACGUCAAAUCAUCAUGCCCCUUAUGAUUUGGGCUACACACGUGCUACAAUGGACAAUACAAAGGGCAGCGAAACCGCGAGGUCAAGCAAAUCCCAUAAAGUUGUUCUCAGUUCGGAUUGUAGUCUGCAACUCGACUACAUGAAGCUGGAAUCGCUAGUAAUCGUAGAUCAGCAUGCUACGGUGAAUACGUUCCCGGGUCU